GAUGAACGCUGGCGGCGUGCCUAAUACAUGCAAGUCGAGCGAACAGACGAGGAGCUUGCUCCUCUGACGUUAGCGGCGGACGGGUGAGUAACACGUGGAUAACCUACCUAUAAGACUGGGAUAACUUCGGGAAACCGGAGCUAAUACCGGAUAAUAUAUUUAACCGCAUGGUUCAAUAGCGAAAGACGGUUUUGCUGUCACUUAUAGAUGGAUCCGCUCCGCAUUAGCUAGUUGGUAAGGUAACGGCUUACCAAGGCAACGAUGCGUAGCCGACCUGAGAGGGUGAUCGGCCACACUGGAACUGAGACACGGUCCAGACUCCUACGGGAGGCAGCAGUAGGGAAUCUUCCGCAAUGGGCGAAAGCCUGACGGAGCAACGCCGCGUGAGUGAUGAAGGUCUUCGGAUCGUAAAACUCUGUUAUUAGGGAAGAACAAAUGUGUAAGUAACUAUGCACGUCUUGACGGUACCUAAUCAGAAAGCCACGGCUAACUACGUG
This 497-nucleotide ribosomal RNA is filed under the name uncultured bacterium. RNAcentral describes it as "partial 16S ribosomal RNA". It matches the Rfam family "Bacterial small subunit ribosomal RNA", at positions 28 to 507 of the family's 1533-position model. The record is from RNAcentral.